RNAcentral lists this ribosomal RNA (565 nucleotides) under uncultured Glomeromycotina. Its description in RNAcentral is "SSU rRNA". It matches the Rfam family "Eukaryotic small subunit ribosomal RNA", at positions 548 to 1114 of the family's 1831-position model. The record is from RNAcentral. Lineage: Eukaryota; Fungi; Glomeromycota.
UUGGAGGGCAAGUCUGGUGCCAGCAGCCGCGGUAAUUCCAGCUCCAAUAGCGUAUAUUAAAGUUGUUGCAGUUAAAAAGCUCGUAGUUGAAUUUCGGGAUCAAUUUGCUGGUCGUGCCUUCGGUACGCACUGGUAUUAUUGGUUUCUCCUUUCUGAUGAAUCGCGAUGUCAUUAAUUUGGUGUCGUGGGGAAUCAGGACCGUUACUUUGAAAAAAUUAGAGUGUUUAAAGCAGGCUCACGCUUGAAUACAUUAGCAUGGAAUAAUGAAAUAGGACGUUUGAUUCUAUUUUGUUGGUUUCUAGGAUCGACGUAAUGAUUAAUAGGGAUAGUUGGGGGCAUUAGUAUUCAAUUGUCAGAGGUGAUAUUCUUGGAUUUAUUGAAGACUAACUACUGCGAAAGCAUUUGCCAAGGAUGUUUUCAUUAAUCAAGAACGAAAGUUAGGGGAUCGAAGACGAUCAGAUAUCGUCGUAGUCUUAACCAUAAACUAUGCCGACUAGGGAUCGGAUGAUGUUAAUUUUUUAAUGACUCAUUCGGCGCCUUACGGGAAACCAAAGUGUUUGGGUUC